UAGCAAACAACAACAAAAACCCUUCUUUAUGCACCCCUAUUUUCGGCAGCCAUAAUACACCAAAGAAACACUUUCCAUUUUCCACAAACACUCCAUUUUACACUAGAUUUAUUCAUUUCAAGAUCAUCCACACAUGAGUUAAACUUGGAGCAUUAUUUGGAGCACUUUUGGAGCUUAAUUUCUUCUUAUUUUCUUGUCUAACUAGUGCAAUCUUGUUAUUGACACGUACGGACGCUCACUUCGAUAUCAUAGUACGCGGAACGCAAACCUGUGAGUUCAUGUCCCCCUUUUCUCUUAACUGUUUUUGAAUUUAUAACUCUCGGGGGUGAAAUACAUGUUACAUAUGUUUCAAUGGAAACAAGUCUUGAGUCGGUGAUACAUGAUUGGAUGCAAUGAUUACCUUUCUUACGUCACACGCAACACGCUUCCGCAACUAGCAGGGUGUGACAAAUCAGACGGUUACAACGGUUCACAUGGUCAAAUGGUUACAAUGGUUCAAAAUGUAAUAUAAUGUGUCCAUAUGCUGGAUGAGCAUAUGCAACAGAAAUGCAAUGUAAAACAAUGUACUAGGUAUGCACACAAUGGACAUACAUAACAUGAAAUGUAAUGUAAAACAAUGUACUAAGUAUGCACACAAUGGACAUACAUAGCAUGAAAUGUAACGUAAAACAAUGUACUAAGUAUGCUUUCAGUCAACAUACAUGUGACAACUCGAGUUUUCGACUUUCACUUUUGCAUUAAAUGCACGUUGACUUUGACUGUUUAAGUUGUUUGACUUGUUUGACUUGUAAUGUACACUUUGUGCUAUGAUAAACAUAUUGUAUUGC
Molecule: long non-coding RNA, 827 nt
Filed under: Helianthus annuus (common sunflower)
Lineage: Eukaryota; Viridiplantae; Streptophyta; Magnoliopsida; Asterales; Asteraceae
Description: hypothetical non coding rna
Source: RNAcentral